CGCAAGCCUGACGGAGCAAGACCACGUGGGGGAGGAAGGCUCUUGGGUUGUAAACCCCUUUUCUCAGGGAAGAACAAAUGACGGUACCUGAGGAAUCAGCCUCGGCUAACUCCGUGCCAGCAGCCGCAGUAAUACGGAGGAGGCAAGCGUUAUCCGGAAUUAUUGGGCGUAAAGCGUCCGCAGGUGGCGAUUCAAGUCUGCUGUCAAAGCACGGGGCUUAACUCCGUUAAGGCAGUGGAAACUGAAUAGCUAGAGUGCCGUAGGGGUAGAGGGAAUUCCCGGUGUAGCGGUGAAAUGCGUAGAGAUCGGGAAGAACAUCGGUGGCGAAAGCGCUCUACUGGACGGCAACUGACACUCAGGGACGAAAGCUAGGGGAGCG
Molecule: ribosomal RNA, 379 nt
Filed under: uncultured cyanobacterium
Lineage: Bacteria; Bacillati; Cyanobacteriota
Description: bacterial SSU rRNA
Rfam family: Bacterial small subunit ribosomal RNA
Source: RNAcentral